GAUGAACGCUGGCGGCGUGCCUAACACAUGCAAGUCGAGCUAUUUACUUCGGUAAAGAGCGGCGGACGGGUGAGUAACGCGUGGGUAACCUGCCCUGUACACACGGAUAACAUACCGAAAGGUAUGCUAAUACGAGAUAAUAUGCUUUUAUCGCAUGGUAGAAGUAUCAAAGCUUUUGCGGGAAAGGAUGGACCCGCGUCUGAUUAGCUAGUUGGUGAGGUAACGGCUCACCAAGGCGACGAUCAGUAGCCGACCUGAGAGGGUGAUCGGCCACAUUGGAACUGAGACACGGUCCAAACUCCUACGGGAGGCAGCAGUGGGGAAUAUUGCACAAUGGGCGAAAGCCUGAUGCAGCAACGCCGCGUGAGCGAUGAAGGCCUUAGGGUCGUAAAGCUCUGUCCUCAAGGAAGAUAAUGACGGUACUUGAGGAGGAAGCCCCGGCUAACUACGUG
This 452-nucleotide ribosomal RNA is filed under the name uncultured bacterium. RNAcentral's name for it is "partial 16S ribosomal RNA". It matches the Rfam family "Bacterial small subunit ribosomal RNA", at positions 28 to 507 of the family's 1533-position model. The record is from RNAcentral.